This 70-nucleotide transfer RNA is filed under the name Sergentomyia clydei. RNAcentral's name for it is "tRNA-Ser". It matches the Rfam family "tRNA". From Rfam's summary of the family: Transfer RNA (tRNA) molecules are approximately 80 nucleotides in length. Their secondary structure includes four short double-helical elements and three loops (D, anti-codon, and T loops). Further hydrogen bonds mediate the characteristic L-shaped molecular structure. tRNAs have two regions of fundamental functional importance: the anti-codon, which is responsible for specific mRNA codon recognition, and the 3' end, to which the tRNAs corresponding amino acid is attached (by aminoacyl-tRNA synthetases). tRNAs cope with the degeneracy of the genetic code in two manners: having more than one tRNA (with a specific anti-codon) for a particular amino acid; and 'wobble' base-pairing, i.e. permitting non-standard base-pairing at the 3rd anti-codon position. The record is from RNAcentral. Lineage: Eukaryota; Metazoa; Arthropoda; Insecta; Diptera; Psychodidae.
CUUAGUUAAUGAGCUUGAAUAGCAAUUGUUUUGAAAACAAUAGAUAAAGAUUUAAUCUCUUUAUUAACUU